GAUGAACGCUGGCGGCGUGCCUAAUACACGCAAGUCGAGCGAACAGACGAGGAGCUUGCUCCUCUGACGUUAGCGGCGGACGGGUGAGUAACACGUGGAUAACCUACCUAUAAGACUGGGAUAACUUCGGGAAACCGGAGCUAAUACCGGAUAAUAUAUUGAACCGCAUGGUUCAAUAGUGAAAGACGGUUUUGCUGUCACUUAUAGAUGGAUCCGCGCCGCAUUAGCUAGUUGGUAAGGUAACGGCUUACCAAGGCAACGAUGCGUAGCCGACCUGAGAGGGUGAUCGGCCACACUGGAACUGAGACACGGUCCAGACUCCUACGGGAGGCAGCAGUAGGGAAUCUUCCGCAAUGGGCGAAAGCCUGACGGAGCAACGCCGCGUGAGUGAUGAGGGUCUUCGGAUCGUAAAACUCUGUUAUUAGUGAAGAACAAAUGUGUAAGUAACUAUGCACGUCUUGACGGUACCUAAUCAGAAAGCCACGGCUAACUACGUG
This 497-nucleotide ribosomal RNA is filed under the name uncultured bacterium. RNAcentral's name for it is "partial 16S ribosomal RNA". It matches the Rfam family "Bacterial small subunit ribosomal RNA", at positions 28 to 507 of the family's 1533-position model. The record is from RNAcentral.